UGGACCUUUAUGCUCUCUGAUGUGUCUUUUUGGGUUUCUCUACUCAUCAGAAAGGCUACCGGUGCUAUCAUACUGCUACUCGAAGUCUAUAUAAACAUAUCACCUUUAUUGAGGAUGAGAUGUUCUUCUUUGAUACACCCGAGCAUGUCUUGCUACACCAACUGAACAUGCCACACCAGCUGAACCUACUAUUUUAACAGAUGUUGCUGCUGUCACUGAACUAAUU
This 226-nucleotide long non-coding RNA is filed under the name Prunus persica (peach). RNAcentral describes it as "long non-coding RNA (PPER_LNC008313)". The record is from RNAcentral. Lineage: Eukaryota; Viridiplantae; Streptophyta; Magnoliopsida; Rosales; Rosaceae.